RNAcentral lists this ribosomal RNA (500 nucleotides) under Clostridium sp. 12821. RNAcentral describes it as "bacterial SSU rRNA". It matches the Rfam family "Bacterial small subunit ribosomal RNA", at positions 1 to 522 of the family's 1533-position model. Lineage: Bacteria; Bacillati; Bacillota; Clostridia; Eubacteriales; Clostridiaceae. The record is from RNAcentral.
UGGAGAGUUUGAUCCUGGCUCAGGACGAACGCUGGCGGCGUGCUUAACACAUGCAAGUCGAGCGAUGAAGUCCCUUCGGGGAYGGAUUAGCGGCGGACGGGUGAGUAACACGUGGGUAACCUGCCUCAUAGAGGGGAAUAGCCUUYCGAAAGGAAGAUUAAUACCGCAUAAGAUUGUAGUUUCGCAUGAAACAGCAAUUAAAGGAGUAAUCCGCUAUGAGAUGGACCCGCGUCGCAUUAGCUAGUUGGUGAGGUAACGGCUCACCAAGGCGACGAUGCGUAGCCGACCUGAGAGGGUGAUCGGCCACAUUGGGACUGAGACACGGCCCAGACUCCUACGGGAGGCAGCAGUGGGGAAUAUUGCACAAUGGGGGAAACCCUGAUGCAGCAACGCCGCGUGAGUGAUGACGGUCUUCGGAUUGUAAAACUCUGUCUUUAGGGACGAUAAUGACGGUACCUAAGGAGGAAGCCACGGCUAACUACGUGCCAGCAGCCGCGGUA